RNAcentral lists this transfer RNA (72 nucleotides) under Camelus dromedarius (Arabian camel). It matches the Rfam family "tRNA". From Rfam's summary of the family: Transfer RNA (tRNA) molecules are approximately 80 nucleotides in length. Their secondary structure includes four short double-helical elements and three loops (D, anti-codon, and T loops). The record is from Rfam by way of RNAcentral. Lineage: Eukaryota; Metazoa; Chordata; Mammalia; Artiodactyla; Camelidae. RNAcentral also lists the same sequence under 1 other name.
GAAGGUAUAGCUCAGUGGUAGAGUGCGUGCCUAGAAUGCACAAGGUCCUGGGUUCAAUCCCCGGUAGCUCUG